RNAcentral lists this ribosomal RNA (250 nucleotides) under uncultured bacterium. RNAcentral describes it as "partial 16S ribosomal RNA". It matches the Rfam family "Bacterial small subunit ribosomal RNA", at positions 524 to 773 of the family's 1533-position model. The record is from RNAcentral.
UACGUAGGGGGCGAGCGUUGUCCGGAUUUACUGGGCGUAAAGCGCGCGUAGGCGGUGCGGUCAGUCGGCCGUGAAAGCCCUCGGCUUAACUGAGGGAGGUCGGUCGAUACUGCCGCACUGGAGGGUCGUAGAGGGAGCUGGAAUUCCCGGUGUAGUGGUGAAAUGCGUAGAGAUCGGGAGGAACACCAGUGGCGAAAGCGGGCUCCUGGGCGACACCUGACGCUGAGGUGCGAAAGCGUGGGGAGCGAAC